This 72-nucleotide transfer RNA is filed under the name Mycosphaerella sp. Ston1. RNAcentral describes it as "tRNA-Pro (AGG) (tRNA-Pro-AGG-1-1)". It matches the Rfam family "tRNA". From Rfam's summary of the family: Transfer RNA (tRNA) molecules are approximately 80 nucleotides in length. Their secondary structure includes four short double-helical elements and three loops (D, anti-codon, and T loops). Further hydrogen bonds mediate the characteristic L-shaped molecular structure. tRNAs have two regions of fundamental functional importance: the anti-codon, which is responsible for specific mRNA codon recognition, and the 3' end, to which the tRNAs corresponding amino acid is attached (by aminoacyl-tRNA synthetases). tRNAs cope with the degeneracy of the genetic code in two manners: having more than one tRNA (with a specific anti-codon) for a particular amino acid; and 'wobble' base-pairing, i.e. permitting non-standard base-pairing at the 3rd anti-codon position. The record is from RNAcentral. Lineage: Eukaryota; Fungi; Ascomycota; Dothideomycetes; Mycosphaerellales; Mycosphaerellaceae. RNAcentral also lists the same sequence under 1 other name.
GCGACAUUGGUCUAGAGGUAUGAUUCUCGCUUAGGGUGCGAGAGGUCCCUGGUUCAAUUCCAGGAUGUCGCC